UUCUUUAAGAUUUUUAGAGUAGGUCCUGAUGUAAGAUCACAAACACUGAUCAACACAUAAAAAAUUAAACAAGAACAAAACGAGUGUGUACCUACAAGUUUUAUUUUCUUUACUUUCAUUUCAUCUCAUCUCUGCUAGAGUUUUUUUUUUCUUUAUUUACCUUUAAGAGUCAAGAAGGUCACAAAAUAUAUACCAAUGAGUUCAAAAGCAACCAUUGUCUUCUUUUCUCUCACCACAUGCUCUAUGUUGAGAAAGCUAAGCUUUCGAGACCCACAAAACAGAAACAAAGUUAAUUUUCUGCUAAUGUUCCUGAAAAGACCCGACCCGUUUUUUGUUUUAAUCAUUGAAACCGGAAUAACCCAAAUAGUGCAAACCAACUAACCCAGCUAAAUUAAUUUAGACAAUUUAACCAGCUAAACCGGUCCUAAUCGAUUAAACCAGUUCAUUCCAGUUUAAACCUUUUAGUCAACAAUUCCAAAUUAACCUAAACAGAUAACAAUAACCAGCGGAAGACUUAACCAAAAAUCCAAAAACAUAAAUGCAUUGAACCAUCAAAUAUUCCAAUGUCAAAACUAGUCAUCAUCCAGAGGUAGAAUAACAUCGUAACAUGUUUCUAAAUUUCAGACUAACAACCUAGCAAUGCAAUACCAUAAAAACUCUACACAACCAACGAGCUCCUAGAUCAUUCCGCUCUCCACGCCUUAAUUCCACGGUCACACUUUUCCUUUACAUGCAUCACAGAAAGAGAUGCAUAAGUAUUUCCAGAAAUACUUAGUAAGGCGAUCAUCCCACUCACCACUGGUGUCGAUUAACACCGAAACCCUAACAUCACUCCAGUCGCUUCUCAUCGACGGAACUCUACUCCUCUAUGCUAUAGGGCCGAUCAAAACCACCACAAGGCUUGUCCAGAUGCACCACAACACAGAAACAAGGCAUACAAACAAUUAAAAUCAUGCACCAAUCAAAGAAAUCACCAAAACAUGAAUCAACUGCUUAGAUAAGCCUUGGUCUGCACUCACCUUUGAAAAUAGAAUGAAAAGCAACGAAAACAGGGACACUCAGAAGGAAAUAAGCUCUUUUAACAUCACACACCACAUAUGCACUCUCAUUUAGGCUGGAAACACCAAGAACAAGCCCCAAAGUCUCCAAAAAGUCACUCAAAGGCACCACAAGGAUCAAUCUCUCACUCUCUGCUUUUCUCUCUUUUUCACAAAGCGACAAAUGACUAAGAAUUAGAAAAACAGCGCCCCCUCAACCUUAAGUCGACCUAGGUAUUCCCAACACCAAUCCGCAAUUGAACUGACGAUUUAAAACUUAAAUUGUCAAACAAAAAAUUACAUGUGUCAAUCGACACCCUUCCUUUGUGUCGAUGGUGAUGGUACUAGUGUAGCUGGGAACCCAGUUGCGGGUGUUCCAACAAGUGGGCCCAAGGUAAGAAUGAUCGUCUUACAGAUUUACUGACGCAGCUUUUGGAGCAGUUACCGGUAGUGGUACCAAUGCAGGCUCCAGUUGAACCACCAGGGGUUGCGGGUGUGCAGCCAGUUGGGCCAGGUGGACCUGGUGUGCAACCAAGUGUUCCCAAUGUGAAGUUAGGUGUCGGGGCUAUGCAGCCACAGGGGGGAAGGCGUGAUUGUUGAGCAGCCGCAAUACUUGCGGAUGAUGGAGCAAAGGUUGUUCUUUAGGGGUUCUGAUCCUGCUGUAGCGGAUGAGUAGCGAGUGACACAGGAGCAGUAAUUCCAAUCUAUGAGGUGCCCAAAGGCGUACCGGGUGCACCAAGCCGCUCACUACUUGGCCGGUGACGGACACUUGUGUUGGCCAACAGGGAGUAAAGGUUGAUGGUGUAGGGGGACUUCUUGGUGGAGUUCAAUGCCAAGUAAUUCCCGGCGGACGCAUUAGACUGUGUCUCUUGUGUUAUGGUGCCUUUGGACGAGUCUUAUGGAGUGGAUACACGGCCAUGAAGUGUGUGGAAGGGCAGAUCCGUUGAUGAGAAGCGGCUGGAGUGAUGUUAGGGCAUCAAUGUCAACCGACACCAGUGGCGAGUGUCAAUCAACACCAGUGGCGAGUGUCGACCGACACUACUCGUCAUGUCGGAUUAUGUGAUUAUUGUUAUUAUCAUUUUAUGGUUGUUGGUUAUUGCAUGAAUGUAAAUUAUGCUGUUGUGGGGAUGAAUGCCACACUUAGUAUUUAUGAAAUACUUAUUCUUCCCUUUUCUAUGAUGCAUGUAAAGGCAAAAUGUGAACCGUGGAAUCAUGGCGAUGAGAAGAGGAGGAUCUAGGGUCUCGCUGUUUUGCUAGACAUGGAAUUUAGAAGCAUCGACUAUAACUGCUCGUUCUCUCCAUAAAACCCAGAUUCGAUCGUCAUAUGUAACUUCCAUCGAUCCUAGUCGACCCCAGAACCACAUUCUCGAUAAACUAAUAGUUUAUCGAUAAGAAUCACCUAUGAAUCUUCAUCCUCGACGACGCUCACCUUUCUCUCGAUACAUCUCGAUGAUUCUCGACACACCAUCGUAAUCUCGACUAUUUCCACCAGAUUUUACUCAACCUUUAGCUUAGAACCGACGAUAAUCUCUUCAUCAUCGACAUCUCUCAAUAUUUCUCAAAAAACUCUCUCCUCUUCUAUCUACUCUCGAGACUCUCUCGCAAAGAUAACAUAAGUCACGAAGAACAUCGAGUAACUUCCUUUUUAAUCGAUUAUUCUUUGAAAAAAUAGUCAAGUAACCGCCACUUAACUCAGAUCCGCGAGUUUUCUCAAGAAAGUAACCGUUCCCGCCAAUUCUCUCGAAGCACUAUCGAAGACAUCGGCAACUGCUCGACCAACACUAUCGGAUUCUCGACCAACCUUGUCUUAAUCCGACAACACUUGUUCGAAAAUCACGCUUGGACCAAGUAACCGUCAGCUUACUCUGAAAAAUACGGUAAACAGUCAAUUCUCUCGGUAAUCUCUGAAUUUCUCGGAAGUACUUAUAUUCCAUCGAUGAAUAUUGAUAUCUAUCGAUAAACUUUAGAUCAACAUAUUUUCCUUCGAUAAUCCUUCGAACAUUGAUCUCAAUCCUUGAUCACAAGCUCGACUAGAAUACCCGGACACGGAUGCUACAGUUUCCCCCGAACAAGGCCGACCGAGGUUCCCAAGGAAGGAUACGGGUUAGUCGGUAUCUCCGUGGCCAAUGCGCUCGAGGCUACCUGUCCCUCUUUGUUGGAAUUAUUGUCAGGCUUUUCCACCCAAACCCCAAAAUAAACAAUGUUAGAAAAGCGUUAGCGGAAGCAUAGAAACAAAUAACAAUCAAAGCAAGGAAGAUAGGACAAGAUAGACAAUACUUGACUCGACACAAGCUAAGACUCUCUAGACUCUCUAGAGUCCUAACAUUCUGAUCCAUUCCUAUACAUAAUUAUCUCUCGUUGAAGCCACAAAGGCAUCCAACCGGAGGAAACGUUUUGGCUAAAUCGUCGUGCAGCUUCAUGGCCUAAUCCCGAGUUAUGUACCAAGCACCAUGGUCAAAAUCUAAGGGACCACAAAGGUCAGCCCUUCGAGACACGCAUCGCCAUUGCCGAGGAAACAUAUUAUUUACUUAAGGAUCAAAUCUACAGAUCUGCAACUAAGGACAUAGAAAAGCAAAAACUUCUACGCAAGAAAACUAAUACUAAAAAGGUCGAUAAACAAGCAAACAAGCAAGCAAUAACAAGCAAUCAUCAAGUAAGCUAAGCACACAACGAACAAGAAAGCAAGGGUUCUUUCAAGGUGAUAAUUCUUGGGUAUAUGAAGAAACUAUCAAGAAAAACCUAUUCAUAUUAGCAUGCAAGUUCGUUUUAGUUGGUUAGAUUUUAGGCAAGCAAACUAUCUUGAAACUAGGCCAGAUCUUUAAACAUGCGAAUUCAUUUUUGCAGAAAAUAUAAGCUAUCAUGCAAGGCUACGAAAUAAAAGCAAGCAAAGCAUGCAAUAGGUGCCGUAAAAAAGUCCGAAGACUUAUGCAGCACCCCACAUAAUUGUACCACAACUCACAGUUCUUAUAGAUGGUUUUGAUCGGGCUCCUUUCUUUCACCGAGGAUUGCUACAAACGGUCUUCUUUUCUUCUUGACCUUCGGUAGCUUUGGUCUCGUACCUUGGCAGCACGGAUCCUUGAACUUCGGCAGCAGUUCACUCGAUAAGGGAGCAGUUUUCUCGAGAAAACGAGAGAACUUCAAGAGAGAUACAGAAAAUCUCGAGAGAAUGAAAGCUUUUUUAUCUUUUCG
This 4226-nucleotide long non-coding RNA is filed under the name Capsella rubella. RNAcentral's name for it is "long non-coding RNA (CRUB_LNC003132)". The record is from RNAcentral. Lineage: Eukaryota; Viridiplantae; Streptophyta; Magnoliopsida; Brassicales; Brassicaceae.